UAAUACGUAGGCAGCAAGCGUUGUUCGGAAUUACUGGGCGUAAAGAGUUCGUAGGCGGUGCGGCAAGUUCGGUGUGAAAUCUCCCGGCUCAACUGGGAGGGUGCGCUAAAUACUGCCGUGCUCGAGUAUAGGAGAGGUAAGCGGAAUUCCUGGUGUAGCGGUGAAAUGCGUAGAUAUCAGGAGGAACACCUGUGGUGUAGACGGCUUACUGGACUAUAACUGACGCUGAGGAACGAAAGCGUGGGUAGCAAACAGGAUUAGAUACCCUGGUAGUCCACGCCCUAAACGAUGCAUACUUGGUGUGAGCCAUUCACUUGGUUCGUGCCGUAGCUAACGCGUUAAGUAUGCCGCCUGGGGAGUACGGUCGCAAGGCUG
Molecule: ribosomal RNA, 375 nt
Filed under: uncultured bacterium
Lineage: Bacteria
Description: bacterial SSU rRNA
Rfam family: Bacterial small subunit ribosomal RNA
Source: RNAcentral